AGUUAUUGUGUGUGGCGUGGCCCUGGUGGCAGUUUUUCUCUUUCUCUUUUGGAAGCUGUGCUGGAUGCCCUGGAGGAACAAGGAGGCCUCCAGCCCCUCCUCUGCUAACCCCUCCCCGGAGGCCCUCCAGAGCCCCAGCUCCAGAGGCAACAUGGCGGACAAGCUCAAGGACCCCCACACCCUGGGCUUCCUAGAGGCGGCUGUGAAGAUCAGCCACACGUCCCCAGAUAUCCCGGCCGAGGUGCAGAUGUCCGUCAAAGAGCACAUCAAGCGUCACACACGGCUGCAGCGACAGACCACAGAGCCAGCGUCAUCCACCAGGCACACGUCCUUCAAGCGCCACCUGCCACGGCAGAUGCACGUGUCCAGCGUGGACUACGGCAACGAGCUGCCCCCAGCGGCGGAGCAGCCCACCAGCAUUGGCCGCAUCAAGCCCGAACUCUAUAAGCAGAAGUCGGUGGAUGGGGACGAUGCCAAAUCCGAGGCCAAGAGCUGCGGGAAAAUCAACUUCAGCCUGCGCUACGACUACGAGAACGAGACCCUGAUUGUGCGCAUCCUGAAGGCCUUCGACCUCCCAGCCAAGGACUUUUGCGGCAGCUCCGACCCUUACGUCAAGAUCUACCUCCUGCCCGACCGCAAGUGCAAGCUGCAGACCCGGGUGCACCGCAAAACCCUGAACCCCACCUUCGACGAGAAUUUCCACUUCCCAGUGCCCUACGAGGAGCUGGCCGACCGCAAGCUACAUCUCAGCGUCUUCGACUUUGACCGCUUCUCCCGCCACGACAUGAUCGGGGAGGUGAUCCUGGACAACCUCUUUGAGGCCUCUGACCUCUCCCGGGAAACCUCCAUCUGGAAGGACAUCCAGUACGCCACAAGUGAAAGUGUGGAUUUGGGCGAGAUCAUGUUCUCCCUCUGCUACCUGCCCACAGCAGGCAGGCUCACCCUCACCGUGAUCAAAUGCCGGAACCUCAAGGCAAUGGACAUCACAGGCUACUCAGAUCCAUAUGUCAAAGUGUCCCUGCUCUGUGACGGGCGGAGACUGAAGAAAAAGAAAACCACCAUAAAGAAGAACACCCUCAACCCUGUGUACAACGAGGCCAUCAUCUUUGACAUUCCCCCGGAGAACAUGGACCAAGUCAGCCUGCUCAUCUCCGUUAUGGAUUAUGAUCGAGUGGGUCACAAUGAGAUCAUUGGAGUCUGUCGUGUGGGGAUCACCGCCGAAGGCCUGGGAAGGGACCACUGGAACGAGAUGCUGGCGUACCCACGGAAGCCCAUUGCACACUGGCACUCCUUGGUGGAGGUAAAGAAAUCCUUCAAAGAGGGAAACCCUCGGUUGUGAUUUCAUUCACGUGGAUGCUGCGAGCAGAGAGACUGCCACCUGGAGUUAGGAUGGCAAGGCCGAGCCGCCAGCUUCGACAGCGAGAGUUCGUGCCCGUCUCCGAAACCACCUCCGACACCAUGAGCUGCACGGCGGUGGCCAGGCUACACAGACGAGACUCAGCAGCGUUCUUUUUGCACUUGUUCAACCGUCCAAACGCAGUGUUGUGCCGCAGCGGCCGCGGGGGCAGCGCGCCUCUCACUCCGGAGUCUUAGCUGCCCCUGUGUCAGUCAAGGCCGAGACACUUGUCAUGUGGUCAGAGCUGUCUUAGUCUUUUCUGUCUCCCACGGUGAUGUUUUCAUGGUUCUUUCACUUUUUAUGGAUCUGCUGUCGAGAAGAAAAGCAGAGAAAAACAAAGAAGGGAGAGCCCAGAUGUUGGUUCUAUUAAAUACAAUGUAAAAUGGUCGUCUUUGGUGGGAAGGUGGUCUGACUUUCUGAAAUUUUGUGUCUCCACCGCGCUCCAUGACCCUGGAGAAGGAUGAGCAGUGGCUGCUUUGUUCAGUGGCCCGUGGGAGGUUGCAGAUCUGGCCAUGAGCCUUUACAGAGGUGACUCAUGACUCUUAGAAGCUCUUUGCUGUUGUGACAUAAACCAAGGUUCCGACUCCUGGUCCCAUGUUGAAAUCGCGAGCACUCAGAGCUACCUGUGAGCCUUCAACUGGCUGGUCGUGCAGAGCUCCUGGCUCCCCAUCCUUGGAACUUUCCUCCUGAAUUGAACAUGACUUGAUCCCUCAUGGGAACUGAGUCGCUUUUGUUAGGAACGGUUCUGCUGAAACAAAACAUGCCAUAUGUUUUCUGGCGCGCCACAGUUAAUGACCACAUUUGUUUGAAAACAGGAUCUUUGUUCUCAAAAAUAACCUUCGUUGUAAAAAAAAAAAAAAGGAAGCACAUAUGUUCUGGAAUGAUUUCUGCGUUAUACAUAGCUUUCUAAUUCCAUGAAGUAUCAAGCAGCUGUUUAAAAUGCCUAAACAGAUCAAAGAAAAACCUACAUAAAAUGUUCUUUUCUGAAUGGGGAGUUUUGAAAUCUAGGUAAUAGGUGGAGUGUAUCUUUCUAUGAAGAGUACCUUCUUGAUUGAAACCAAGUCAGCUUAAGUCUAUUUCAGCCGCCUUGACUCUGGGACAAUGUUCAUCUUAACUUUAGUUCUAUAAAUUAUUAAGUAUUUCAGUGUUUGUUUCAGUGGUAGUGAAUGAUUUUUUUUUUUCUUUAAAUCUCUACUGUAGGUCAGAUUCAGUUUAAGAAAAAAGUAUGUUUGAACUAUUCUGUAUUGUAAUCGUACAUUUCUGUUGAGUUAAUUAGUGGCCUUCCCACCAACCCCCUAGAACUAGGUUGAUUUGCUCCAUCAGUGUGGUAAAUGUGCGGGUGGGUCUUCACUUCUGUGUGUAGCUGAGAAAUGCCAGUUUCUAGAGCUGUGUGUGUAACUUGCAAGAGGCAGGUCUGCUGAAGAAGUGCUUCUUUCAACAAUGGAAGGUCAAGAAUGUAAAAACUGUUCACACACCUUGUGUCUUACUCUUUAUAUGUGACACAUGCUUUAGGAGCAGCAACUCAAUAAAGCUACCCUUGUUUUAA
Molecule: RNA transcript, 2942 nt
Organism: Odocoileus virginianus texanus
Lineage: Eukaryota; Metazoa; Chordata; Mammalia; Artiodactyla; Cervidae
Gene: SYT6
Gene name: synaptotagmin 6
Source: RefSeq, a predicted model, not a curated record